GAUGAACGCUGGCGGCGUGCCUAGUACAUGCAAGUCGAGCGAACAGACGAGGAGCUUGCUCCUCUGACGUUAGCGGCGGACGGGUGAGUAACACGUGGAUAACAUACCUAUAAGCCUGGGAUAACUUCGGGAAACCGGAGCUAAUACCGGCUAAUAUAUUGAACCGCAUGGUUCAAUAGUGAAAGACGGAUUUGCUGUCACUUAUAGAUGGAUCCGCUCCGCAUUGGCUGGUUGGUAAGGUCACGUAUUACCCAGGCGACGUUCCGUAGCCGACCUGAUAGAGUGAUCCGACACUCUGGAACUAAGACACAGUCCAGAUCCCAACGGUAGGCAGCAGUAUGGAAUCGUCCAAAUUAGGCAAAAGCCUGACAGAGCAAGGCCGCGGGUGUGAUGAGGGUAUUCGGAUCGUAAAACUCUGUUAUUUGGGAAGAACAAAUUUGGCGGUAACGAUGCGCGUCUUGACGGUACCUAAUCAGAAAGCCACGGCUAACUACGUG
This 497-nucleotide ribosomal RNA is filed under the name uncultured bacterium. RNAcentral's name for it is "partial 16S ribosomal RNA". It matches the Rfam family "Bacterial small subunit ribosomal RNA", at positions 28 to 507 of the family's 1533-position model. The record is from RNAcentral.